This 839-nucleotide ribosomal RNA is filed under the name uncultured bacterium. RNAcentral's name for it is "bacterial SSU rRNA". It matches the Rfam family "Bacterial small subunit ribosomal RNA", at positions 588 to 1427 of the family's 1533-position model. The record is from RNAcentral.
UNUGAUGUGAAAGCCCCCGGCUCAACCGGGGAGGGUCAUUGGAAACUGGGGAACUUGAGUGCAGAAGAGGAGAGUGGAAUUCCAUGUGUAGCGGUGAAAUGCGUAGAUAUAUGGAGGAACACCAGUGGCGAAGGCGACUCUCUGGUCUGUAACUGACGCUGAGGCUCGAAAGCGUGGGUAGCAAACAGGAUUAGAUACCCUGGUAGUNCACGCCGUAAACGAUGAGUGCUAAGUGUUGGAGGGUUUCCGCCCUUCAGUGCUGCAGUUAACGCAUUAAGCACUCCGCCUGGGGAGUACGACCGCAAGGUUGAAACUCAAAGGAAUUGACGGGGACCCGCACAAGCGGUGGAGUAUGUGGUUUAAUUCGAAGCAACGCGAAGAACCUUACCAAGUCUUGACAUCCUUUGACCACUCUAGAGAUAGAGCUUUCCCGUCGGGGACAAAGUGACAGGUGGUGCAUGGUUGUCGUCAGCUCGUGUCGUGAGAUGUUGGGUUAAGUCCCGCAACGAGCGCAACCCUUAUUACUAGUUGCCAGCAUUGAGUUGGGCACUCUAGUGAGACUGCCGGUGACAAACCGGAGGAAGGUGGGGAUGACGUCAAAUCAUCAUGCCCCUUAUGACUUGGGCUACACACGUGCUACAAUGGAUGGUACAACGAGCAGCGAACUCGCGAGGGUAAGCGAAUCUCUUAAAGCCAUUCUCAGUUCGGAUUGUAGGCUGCAACUCGCCUACAUGAAGCCGGAAUCGCUAGUAAUCGCGGAUCAGCACGCCGCGGUGAAUACGUUCCCGGGUCUUGUACACACCGCCCGUCACACCACGAGAGUUUGUAACACCCAAAGU